This 301-nucleotide ribosomal RNA is filed under the name uncultured bacterium. Its description in RNAcentral is "partial 16S ribosomal RNA". It matches the Rfam family "Bacterial small subunit ribosomal RNA", at positions 509 to 807 of the family's 1533-position model. The record is from RNAcentral.
CAGCAGCCGCGGUAAUGCAGAGGAUGCAAGCGUUAUCCGGAAUGAUUGGGCGUAAAGUGUCUGUAGGUGGCUUUUCAAGUCCGCCGUCAAAUCCCAGGGCUCAACCCUGGACAGGCGGUGGAAACUACCAAGCUGGAGUAUGGUAGGGGCAGAGGGAAUUUCCGGUGGAGCGGUGAAAUGCGUUGAGAUCGGAAAAAACACCAACGACGAAAGCACUCUGCUGGGCCGACACUGACACUUAGAGACGAAAGCUAGGGGAGCAAAUGGGAUUAGAUACCCGCGUAGUCCCUGUCUCUUAUAC